Molecule: long non-coding RNA, 200 nt
Filed under: Phaseolus vulgaris (common bean)
Lineage: Eukaryota; Viridiplantae; Streptophyta; Magnoliopsida; Fabales; Fabaceae
Description: long non-coding RNA (PVUL_LNC002464)
Source: RNAcentral
AUUAAAGACCAUCAUUCUAAGGAGAAGACAAGGCCAAAGCCGAAACAAGCAUUCUUGAAAUAAACACUACAAACACUUGGAAGAUCAACAAGCAAAGACAACAAGGAAGUGCACUAACCAAAAGAGGAUCAACAAAGGGAGUUCUCUUAUUUCCUUUGCAACUUGGUUUAUUGUUAAUUACCUUGUUAAUUACGUUUUAG